CUACGGGUUGCUGCAGUGAGGAAUAUUGCACAAUGGGGGGAACCCUGAUGCAGCAACGCCGCGUGGAGGAUGACGCAUUUCGGUGUGUAAACUCCUUUUAUAUGUCAAGAAAAUGACGGUAGCAUAUGAAUAAGCACCGGCUAACUCCGUGCCAGCAGCCGCGGUAAUACGGAGGGUGCAAGCGUUACUCGGAAUCACUGGGCGUAAAGGACGCGUAGGCGGGUUGGAAAGUCAGGUGUGGAAUCCUACAGCUUAACUGUAGAACUGCACUUGAAACUUCUAAUCUAGAGUAUGGGAGGGGGAGAGGGAAUUAGUGGUGUAGGGGUAAGAUCCGUAGAUAUCACUAGGAAUACCUAAAGCGAAGGCGAUCUCCUGGAACAUUACUGACGCUAAGGCGUGAAAGCGUGGGGAGCAAACAGGAUUAGAUACCCUCGUAGUC
RNAcentral lists this ribosomal RNA (439 nucleotides) under uncultured bacterium. Its description in RNAcentral is "partial 16S ribosomal RNA". It matches the Rfam family "Bacterial small subunit ribosomal RNA", at positions 339 to 795 of the family's 1533-position model. The record is from RNAcentral.